This is a long non-coding RNA of Stegodyphus dumicola, 413 nucleotides long. The record is from RefSeq and is a predicted model, not a curated record. NCBI's taxonomy places the organism in Eukaryota, Metazoa, Arthropoda, Arachnida, Araneae, Eresidae.
UUUUAUUUUCUUUAUUUUAUUGAGAAGCCAAAACAGGAGGUGCUCUAGAAUUCAUAUAAAAGGGUGAGCGUUCAUCAAUGGUCACUAACGUUCACAACUUCGCAUUGCAGCUUUGUGUUUGGAAUUAGCUUUAACAGAAUAAGGAUGAAAACCCUGGUUUUUGCCAUUGCUUUCUUCUGCCUGGUGUCAGCAACUUUGGCUGGUCAUCAUGGUAUUCAUAUUGGCAUUCCUCUACCCUUCAUCAAAAUCCGUUUCGUAGAUAUUGCUCAUCUUUUCGGAAAUCAUCAUGGCCUUGGACAUCAUGGACUUCACCACGGAGGAGGAGGUUUAGGUUUCGGGUUAGAGCUUGGAGGACAUGGGGGAGGACAUCACGGCUUCUAGAAAUGCGUUGAAAAGUUAGAAAGAUGGCAGGU